RNAcentral lists this long non-coding RNA (485 nucleotides) under Gallus gallus (chicken). Its description in RNAcentral is "long non-coding RNA NONGGAT002873". Lineage: Eukaryota; Metazoa; Chordata; Aves; Galliformes; Phasianidae. The record is from RNAcentral.
UAACUUCAGCAGAGAGACUGCACCUUCAAAGAUGGAUUUAAUCCUUCCUCAAGAGAAAUGUGUUCCUCUCCUCAGUGACUGACAAGGGAACCUCAGUGACUGGCAUGGGGCAGACGUUUCCUUUUUGACAGCAAAAGUUAAGUGAAGUACAACCCCACCUCCUGUGUGUGUCUGUUUCUAGGACUGGACUUUCCUGCCACACAGAAGACUAAUAGAAAAUAGGACCAGAAGGAGCAGCACAAGUACCGUAAUCCAAGAACUCUUGCUACAGCUUUUCCUAGUGCAAGAAACACAGAGGAGGUCACAUUUACAAAGCCACGCAACUUCUUAGGUGAGAUCUCUCCUGCAUACUGAACAUGGGCAUUCAUACAUACUCCUAAAAAGAAGACAAAGGAGAACUGAAGCUACAGAAAACAAGAGAGAGUCCCUUUUCAUUUCACCUGCUCCACACCCUGCUCCUCUCUCUGUGUCCCUGCAAAGAGAAC